GAAUAGUCAAUUCAUAGAAGAUUUAAUUUGAACAUUAGUUUGUAUUAUUUCCUUUUCAUCAUUUUUAAUAUUGAGAUGGUUGUAGAUAACUUGAAGAGAAUGAUAGAUUUGUCGAUGAUUAACUGUGUUAUUGCCCUCAAAAGGGCUUAUUUAACUAAUGUCUCGCUGUUGGAAUGGUGUUUUUAAGGAAUAAUAGAUUUCAGGGGCGGGGCUAUAAAGUGUUUGAGAUCUAAGCAUCACCAUGACAAGUGGUUGAAAGCUACUGGAAAGUAUGAGCUCAAGGUUCUCAAUGCCUGACUAUUUGGGCCUCUGUCCGAAGAUUUACUGAUCCAAGUGAAAAUAAGCGGUUAUGCAGCAACAGGUGGUGGUAGAGGAAUUGAGAGAUGAAAGCCUCAAGAUUUCAAAAAAAGGACAUUCACUAUAUAUCAGAUAAUGCCAAUAGUGAGAAAUGGGCUUGGGUGCUAUUUGAGAUCACCACUGAUAUUCUUCACAGCACAAAGAUUAUUGCUAAAAGCAUUAAGGCUAAUAAUAUUAAUGUUCUGAAGCUGAAAGUGAGUAUUUUGAAUACGACUCUAAUUCUGAUUGAGAUUCUCCAGGUUUGUAAAAUCUCGAGUUUGGGUUUCUUCAUACAUCAAAACUGUAUAUAUUGUAGUAGUCAUCUAUUCAUAUAAAGGGUUUGAUUUGUUAGAAAUAUAAGGAAGUUUUUCAUGCACAAGAAGGACUUUUCUGAUUGAUUAUCCUGAAAAUCGUCUACAACCAUAUUGUUUGUACUUCCUGCAGGCAGUUCUUGAUUACAAGCAAAUAACUCAACAGGUGGUCCAGUUGUUUGAUCACAUUUAUUAGCUGCCUCCCUGACUGUUGCUACUAAUUCUUUCUGGCAUUGGUUAUCUGCAAGUCUUCCUCCAAUACAAAUCUUAGCAGAAUUCUUAUCUAUGUAUGUAUGAUUGUUAGCAAACUGAACAUUAGAAACUCCAUUACUUUCACAGCCUGUACCAAUAAAAAAACUUUUACUUGAAUUGCACUUUUUGAAAUACUAUACUUUUUGUUACAUGGAAGGGUGAAACUGCUAAUAUUUUAUUUCUUAAUUGAUACUGCUUGUGACAAGCUUUCUUACACUACUUCUUCUUUCUUGUGAUAGACUUACUGUUUGGCAAUCUGCAUAAAGUACAUAUUCAAUUCUUGAUAGUACUGUAAAGGCCAAACUUUCAAGUAUUCUUUAAUAGCUUUCAAGAACAUCUUUCCUUUCAUCAUGCCAACAUUGUGACUGAAAAGCCUCAAGGAUCAAGUUGUAAACAUGAUAUGAUCUUACCCGGUUUAAUUGGAUUUUGCUUAUAUCUAAUGAAGAUUGUGGAAGCCAUAUAUAUCUAUGGUUAAAGAGAAGCAAAAUGGUUUCAGCUCUUUUCAAGGAGUUCCCUUCAAGAGGCUAUAAAGUUUUGGUUAUGUACCACAUGCCCUGCCGGUGAUGCAGGUUACGUACCAAGCAAGUUGCAAGUUGCAACUUGGCCUUUUCAGUGGUUAUGCUACUAUUCUUAAGAAUUCAAGAUUCUUAAGUAUUGCUCAAAAUUUGUUAGCUGAGUUUUGCUGUUCAAAAGUUUUGUCAAUAUGCAAUGUUUCAGAAACUGAAGCUGCUUCUAUAGAAAGUCUUUCAUGUUCUUCAUCAUCAUCUAUGUUAUGAAGUGGGAUAACUGAAAUGACAUCGAUAUAUUGCAUUUAUUCUUUGCCGGAUCUUUUGACGGAUACGUUGUUACAGCCUUUGAGGGUAUUUUUAAGGUCGCAGAAUAUUGCCAGAUCUUUCCCAUGAUUUGCUUUUAUUCUGUUCAAAAUGAAUGGCUAUCACAAGCAUGCCGGUUCCAAGGGCUCCUCCUACUAAUAGCAAAGAUAUGUGUUUGAUGUAAUAUCUAUAUUUGUCACUACAAUGGUAUGCAUUUUAUUCAAUUCAAUUACGUGCUUAUUGCAUAAGUGCUUAUUACAGUUAGCUGUCUC
Vicia villosa (hairy vetch) is the source of this 1983-nucleotide long non-coding RNA. RefSeq lists it as uncharacterized. The transcript has 3 exons. The record is from RefSeq and is a predicted model, not a curated record. Lineage: Eukaryota; Viridiplantae; Streptophyta; Magnoliopsida; Fabales; Fabaceae.